UACGUAGGGGGCUAGCGUUGUCCGGAAUCAUUGGGCGUAAAGAGCGUGUAGGUGGCUCGGUAAGUCCGCUGUGAAAGUUCAGGGCUCAACCCUGGAAUGCCAGUGGAAACUGUCGAGCUAGAGUCCGGAAGAGGCGAGUGGAAUUCCUGGUGUAGCGGUGAAAUGCGCAGAUAUCAGGAGGAACACCAAUGGCGAAGGCAGCUCGCUGGGACGGUACUGACACUGAGACGCGAAAGCGUGGGGAGCAAACAGG
Molecule: ribosomal RNA, 253 nt
Filed under: uncultured bacterium
Lineage: Bacteria
Description: partial 16S ribosomal RNA
Rfam family: Bacterial small subunit ribosomal RNA
Source: RNAcentral